UACAUGGGGUGCAAACGUUGCUCGGAAUCAUUGGGCGUAAAGCGCGCGUAGGCGGUUACUUAUGUCGGAUGUGAAAGCCCUCGGCUUAACUGAGGAAGUGCAUUCGAAACUGGGUAGCUAGAGUACUAAAGAGGGUCGCGGAAUUCCUGGUGUAGCGGUGAAAUGCGCAGAUAUCAGGAGGAACACCCGUGGCGAAAGCGGCUCUCUGGGACGGUACUGACGCUGAGACGCGAAAGCCAGGGGAGCAAACGGG
Molecule: ribosomal RNA, 253 nt
Filed under: uncultured bacterium
Lineage: Bacteria
Description: partial 16S ribosomal RNA
Rfam family: Bacterial small subunit ribosomal RNA
Source: RNAcentral